CGUCAGUGGACACGACGAGCGGUCAACGAAAACUUUGGCAAACUAGGAUAUCAGAAUGGCCAGACUGUUAGCCGCCACCAGAAUCUACAAACAUACAGCAGUUUAACGACACGGAAUGUUUUACCAGAGACUUGAAUUUGUGUGGGAAUCGGACUACGCGACAAGCAACAAGAGUAAAGUAAGGUCAUACUAAACGAUUGAUUGUUUUCACAAACCAGUCUGUUUAGCUGCUGUAUCUGAGGAGUGAGGAAAGGUCUUGAGAUGAAUCUCUUAGAGAAACAGAGUGUGAGAUCAGGUUCACAUGUGUCUAGCUCUGUGUCUGUGAAGAGUGACCAUUCAAAAGGUGGCAUGCCAAACUUUCGUGAGAAAAAAACAUCUAUUAAAAGGAAAAGAUCAGGCUCACAUGUGUUCCGCUCUGUGUCUGUGAAGAGUGACUUGUCAAAAGGUGAUGUGCCGAACUUCAGUGAGGAAACGAUCAAAAGGUUUAAACGCAAUACAAAAGAUUCAUACUUCCAGACUCUCGGGAACCAAAAGAAUUUCGAAGACAAUCUCCUAGGGGUCUUCCAUGUAAGAAAACAUUUAAAAUGUUUGAUAAUAGUGUAUUUAUUUAUUUAUUUUA
Molecule: long non-coding RNA, 619 nt
Filed under: Sinocyclocheilus anshuiensis
Lineage: Eukaryota; Metazoa; Chordata; Actinopteri; Cypriniformes; Cyprinidae
Description: lncRNA (ENSSANG00000002975.1)
Source: RNAcentral